Molecule: ribosomal RNA, 1692 nt
Filed under: Acrorhynchides robustus
Lineage: Eukaryota; Metazoa; Platyhelminthes; Rhabdocoela; Polycystididae
Description: eukaryotic LSU rRNA
Rfam family: Eukaryotic large subunit ribosomal RNA
Source: RNAcentral
UAGGUCGACCCGCUGAAUUUAAGCAUAUCAGUAAGCGGAGGAAAAGAAAUUAACAAAGAUUUCCUUAGUAGCGGCGAGCGAACAGGAAUUAGCCCAACGCCGAAUCCUUCACCUUUUUGGUGCUUGGAAAUGUGGCCUAAGGCACUAUUCUUACGGCAUUAUGUUACCGUUUUAAGUUCACUCGAUUGUGGCAUCGAGCCCAUAGAGGGUGUCAGGCCCGUAUGAACGGUACAUUUUGUCUGGAGUAGUGUCAAGAGUAGGGUUGCUUGGGAAUGCAGCUCAAAUCGGGUGGUAAACUCCAUCCAAGGCUAAAUACAACACGAGUCCGAUAGCGAACAAGUACCAUGAGGGAAAGUUGAAAAGAACUUUGAAGAGAGAGUUCAACAGUGCGUGAAACCGCUCAAAGGGAACCGGGUAGAGCUGAAGGAGACUCGGCACAUUUGUAUUUCGGCCUGUUCAUUAUCGCGUUGCGGAGACUUAUUGCUCGGAUGUUAUAAUGGGGCGUUUUGCUAUACUGUUGUGCCUUGUCGACACCACGAUCAGUAGGUACAUUGGUCUGGCAUAGAUGGGAAGGUAGCUCACUUUUUGUGAGUGUUAUAGCCCAUUUAUCUAGCACCAGUGGAGUACUGUAGAUUUGCAUUAUAUGAAAGGUUGACUGAGAUGUUGGGCUGCUGUUGCAACUCAUAAUGAGAUGAAGUGGUUGUCCCGGUGUUUUGGUUGAUCCUCUUUGUAUGGUGUUAAUAAUCAGUGGUGGCAUGGUAGGCAUUCUACCCGACCCGUCUUGAAACACGGACCAAGGAGUUUAGCAUGUACGCGAGUCAUGGGGUCUUACGAAACCUAAAGGCGCAGUGAAAGUAAAGGUUAACUUUUUGUUAGCUGAGGUAGGAUCUUGGUUUUCAUUGGGCAGUUUACUGCACAUGGACUGGGCGCACUACCAGCUCGUCCCAUGCUCUAUUGAGUGGGGCGAAGCAAGAGCGUACAUGCUGAGACCCGAAAGAUGGUGAACUAUGCUUGCGUAGGUUGAAGCCAGAGGAAACUCUGGUGGAGGACCGUAGCGAUUCUGACGUGCAAAUCGAUCGUCAAACGUGAGUAUAGGGGCGAAAGACUAAUCGAACCAUCUAGUAGCUGGUUCCCUCCGAAGUUUCCCUCAGGAUAGCUGGCACUCGAGAAUCAAACAGUUUUAUCCGGUAAAGCGAAUGAUUAGCAGUAUUGGGGAUGAAAUAUCCUCAACUGAUUCUCAAACUUUAAAUGGGUGAGAUGCUCAACUCUCUUAAUAUGGAGUUGUAGCAUUGAAUGUGAGUGCCUAGUGGGCCAUUUUUGGUAAGCAGAACUGGCGAUGUGGGAUGAACCAAACGUUUGGUUAAGGCGCCAAACAUAACGCUCAUCAGACACCACAAAAGGUGUUGGUUGAUUUUGACAGCAGGACGGUGGCCAUGGAAGUCGGAAUCCGCUAAGGAGUGUGUAACAACUCACCUGCCGAAUCAACCAGCCCUGAAAAUGGAUGGCGCUGUAGCGUUGGGCCUAUACCAGACCGUUACCACGAUACAGUAUGUGGUAACGUGUAGGAGGGCGCAGUGGUAAGCAUUGAAGCCUAGGCCGUGAGGCUGGGUGGAGCUGCCACUGGUGCAGAUCUUGGUGGUAGUAGCAAAUAUACAAGUGAGAACCUUGUAGACUGAAGUGGAGAAGGGUUCC